Molecule: long non-coding RNA, 1572 nt
Filed under: Medicago truncatula (barrel medic)
Lineage: Eukaryota; Viridiplantae; Streptophyta; Magnoliopsida; Fabales; Fabaceae
Description: long non-coding RNA (MTRU_LNC000748)
Source: RNAcentral
UGGUGGCUAUGCUGGUGGAUAUGCUGGGAAUGAAAGCGGUGGUGGUUACGCAGCGAAAGGAAGCGGAAACGGUGGUGGUAGAGGAUAUGGAGGUAACGAUGGUGGAGGUUACGGUGGAAGGAGUGGAUAUGGUGGAAACGAUGGCGGAGGAUAUGGUGGAAGAGGUGGUGGCGGUAGAGGAGGUGGUGGUGGUGGUGGAGGAUAUGGAGGUCGAGGUUUGUUAUUUUGAUCUGUAAUUUGUUUUCUUUUUUAGUUAAUUUUCAAUCUUAUCGUGUCUUUAAUUUCUGUGGAUUGAUGUGAACUUAAACAGGUGGCGGUGGCGGUUUUCAAGGUGGAGAUCGCGGUGGCCGAGGUGGAGGUGGUGGCCGUGGUGGAAGUGGCAGAGAUGGAGAUUGGCGUUGCCCUAACGAAAGGUAUUUGAUUUUUUUCUGCCAAAAAUUUAUGAUUUUCACUAGUAUUUUUUAUUAAAAUGAACAAUCAAUUUAGUCUCCAAACUAUGUAAAUAUAAUUAGUAGUCCUAAAUUAUGUAAAGCCCAUCAGUUUAGUUCCUGCACUUAAGAUAUUAGGGGCAAAAAGGACGGAUUUUAAUGUACAUUUAGAGACUAUAUUAACGAAUUUUAUAUAGUUUAGGGACAACUUAUUAUAUUUACAUAGUUUAAGGAUUAAAUUGAUGGGUUUCAUAUAGCUUAGGGAAAACUUAUUAUAUUUACAUAGUUUAGAGACUAACUUGAUGGAUUUUAUGUACUUUAGGGAAUAAAUUGACGAAGUUCACAAAGUUUAGGAAAUACUUAUUAUGUUUACAUAGUUUAGGUGCUAAAUCGGAGAGAGUGAUAGUUUAGGGACUAAAUUAAUGAUUUAUUUUUUCACUUAACUUUAUUGCUGUUGAUUUGAUUCUUACGUUUCUUAUCUGAUUCAAUAUUGUUAUUUAUAUAGUUGUGGGAACAAUAACUUCGCUAGAAGGAGUGAAUGUAACAAAUGUGGUACCCCAUGUCCUACCAGUGGUAAUGACCGCGGUGGCGGCGGCGGCGGCGGUGGGUAUAAUAGAGGAGGAAGUGGUGGAGGAUAUGACAGUAACCGAGGAGGUAGGUCUGAGAACUAUGGAGGUAGAACUAGUGAUUAUAAUGGUGGAAGGGGUAAUAACAAUGAUGGAAGAAGUGGAGGGAGCAAUAGGGGUGGCUCGUAUGGCGGGAAUCAAGGCAGAGAAGAUGGUGGCUAUGGUCAAGCACCUCCUGUUGCUGCUGCUCAGUCUUAUGGUGGUGCUGGUGGAAACUAUCCACCUACCUAUGGUGGGAAUGCAAAUUAUGGAACAGAUGCCGUUCCUCCACCUACAAGUUAUACCGGUGGACCUAAUUCAUAUCCUCCUUCAUAUGGGGGUAACACGGGUGGUUAUGGUGGAGGUGAUGCACGGAGUGGUGGCAGGGCUGUGCCUCAAGCUGGAUAUGACAGUGGUAAUCGUGGUGGAUUUGGUGGAGCUCCUGCUGAGCCAGCUCCAGCGGCUCCGGUGAAGCAGUGCGAUGAGAAUUGUGGAGAUACAUGUGACAACUCUAGAAUCUAUAUCUCAAAUUUACCACC